UACGGGGGGGGCAAGCGUUGUUCGGAAUUACUGGGCGUAAAGGGUUUGUAGGUGGCUCGCUAAGUCAGACGUGAAAUCCCUCAGCUUAACUGGGGAACUGCGUCUGAAAACUGAUGAGCUUGAGUGCAGGAGAGGAACGCGGAAUUCCAGGUGUAGCGGUGAAAAUGCGUAGAUAUCUGGAGGAACACCGGUGGCGAAGGCGG
This 203-nucleotide ribosomal RNA is filed under the name uncultured bacterium. RNAcentral's name for it is "partial 16S ribosomal RNA". It matches the Rfam family "Bacterial small subunit ribosomal RNA", at positions 524 to 724 of the family's 1533-position model. The record is from RNAcentral.